GCCACUCAGGAGUACCCCACCCAUCGACCAAACACUCUCAUUUUCAAGAUGGCGCUGGAAUCCAGGGGAAAACUUCAUGACGACAGUAAUGACAUAAGAUGGCACACCCAGUAGGAUAUGCUUUGAAUAAAACACUUAACCAAUUAUUGAUGUGUUAUUUCGUGUUAUCUCUGACAGUGCUUAUGAUGUAAUUGUGCUUUAUAAGGGACAUGUCGUCCCCCCGAAUAAACAUUCCAGAGUAUUUCAUCAACCGGGAAACGUGUCUGGUGUGAUUUACUUUGGAAAGCAUGAAUGCACCAUAACUAAUUUGGACAGGGGCAGAUACACAAAAAUAAUCAAUUUACAAACAUAUAAGUCUCUGUCCUUCUGUCUU
Molecule: non-coding RNA, 373 nt
Organism: Pelobates cultripes (western spadefoot toad)
Lineage: Eukaryota; Metazoa; Chordata; Amphibia; Anura; Pelobatidae
Source: the annotation of a GenBank genome assembly